CCUACGGGGGCAGCAGUGGGGAAUAUUGGCCAAUGGGCGAAAGCCUGAUCCAGCCAUGCCGCGUGUGUGAAGAAGGCCUUCGGGUUGUAAAGCACUUUCAGUGGGGAAGAAAGCCUUGGGGCUAAUACCCUCGAGGAAGGACAUCACCCACAGAAGAAGCACCGGCUAACUCCGUGCCAGCAGCCGCGGUAAUACGGAGGGGGCGAGCGUUAAUCGGAAUUACUGGGCGUAAAGCGCGCGUAGGCGGUCUGAUAAGCCGGUUGUGAAAGCCCCGGGCUCAACCUGGGAACGGCAUCCGGAACUGUCAGGCUAGAGUGCAGGAGAGGAAGGUAGAAUUCCCGGUGUAGCGGUGAAAUGCGUAGAGAUCGGGAGGAAUACCAGUGGCGAAGGCGGCCUUCUGGACUGACACUGACGCUGAGGUGCGAAAGCGUGGGUAGCAAACAGGAUUAGAUACCCUUGUAGUC
RNAcentral lists this ribosomal RNA (464 nucleotides) under Vreelandella stevensii. RNAcentral's name for it is "partial 16S ribosomal RNA". It matches the Rfam family "Bacterial small subunit ribosomal RNA", at positions 338 to 795 of the family's 1533-position model. Lineage: Bacteria; Pseudomonadati; Pseudomonadota; Gammaproteobacteria; Oceanospirillales; Halomonadaceae. The record is from RNAcentral.